RNAcentral lists this ribosomal RNA (109 nucleotides) under uncultured Cortinarius. Its description in RNAcentral is "partial 28S ribosomal RNA". It matches the Rfam family "Eukaryotic large subunit ribosomal RNA", at positions 14 to 122 of the family's 3401-position model. The record is from RNAcentral. Lineage: Eukaryota; Fungi; Basidiomycota; Agaricomycetes; Agaricales; Cortinariaceae.
GGUAGGACUACCCGCUGAACUUAAGCAUAUCAAUAAGCGGAGGAAAAGAAACUAACAAGGAUUCCCCUAGUAACUGCGAGUGAAGCGGGAAAAGCUCAAAUUUAAAAUC